AGGAACGAAGAGAAUGCGGAUAUGGUCGAAUGGUAAAAUUUCUCUUUGCCAAGGAGAAGAUGCGGGUUCGAUCCCCGCUAUCCGCC
This 86-nucleotide transfer RNA is filed under the name Magnolia acuminata var. acuminata. RNAcentral describes it as "tRNA-Gly". The stretch from base 16 to 86 matches the Rfam family "tRNA". Rfam says of the family: Transfer RNA (tRNA) molecules are approximately 80 nucleotides in length. The record is from RNAcentral. Lineage: Eukaryota; Viridiplantae; Streptophyta; Magnoliopsida; Magnoliales; Magnoliaceae.